Long non-coding RNA from Equus caballus (horse), 1840 nucleotides. NCBI's taxonomy places the organism in Eukaryota, Metazoa, Chordata, Mammalia, Perissodactyla, Equidae. The record is from Ensembl.
CUCUCAAGUCAGUCUCCUUGAUCCAGGGUUUGGGGCAAAAUUUAAGAGGUUGGGGGAACAGGCUGAUACGCGGAAGCGCCGGCCAGGCAGGUGUCCGUUGGAGGGCUCUAAACAUUUACGAGUGACCCACCCCUAGUCAUUGGAAUUCAACUGUGCUCCAUGCUGUAGGAGAGGCAGCAACACCAAAUCUUUAUCUCAAUGUCUGCACUACCUUCCAAACAUAGAGCCUGAGUCAAGAACCCAGUGAGAUCCUGAGGGGAAUGCCUACAGCACAGAGAUUAUUUUCCUCGUGCUACAUUUGUAGCUCUAGAAAAGAGGCUACAUCUCCAGAUGCCACCCCCAUCCAACCUUCUGGAGGCAGCCCCAGGAGACAGCAGUGGUUGUGCACCAGAGGGUGCAAUGCCUGGGACUACUGCAGCUGUCUUGUGACCAAGAGGAACACUAUCUUAAUGAUAAGCCAGUAUACUAAAGAUGGCAGAGCAAGAAAAUGGAAAGACUCCAGAUCUUUGAUGUCACUGAGCUGCUGAACUAACCGACCCCUGGAGCUGCUUUACCUCUGGACUUAUUAUAUCUUCAAAUUCUUCAAGUGAUUUUUUAACAGGAUAUUACCUUCACCCUGAGGAAGGUGGCAGAGGUGGAGGAUAAAAACACAGGCGAUGGAUUUCAGAGAGACUUUGUAGGUGCUUUCGUUUCCUCCUCCAGGAGGUAAAUGUAUUAUUAGAGUUCGGAAUAUCUUUCCCUGUACAGGUUCGCUCUAAAUCUCUUCGCAUUUUGUUAUGAAUGAGAAUGUGACCUUUCGUCUCCUAUGGAAAUCCAAGCUCUUGAAAGAAGAUUUCUGUGAAUGAGCUAAAAAAAGAAUCCAUUUUUGUCAGUAUAAAUAGCCAGAGGGCCUGGGACUAAUAAGACCACAUUUGAAAGUGCCAAUCUUAUGGUGAGCUUUUAAAAUUUUGAAACAAUUAAUGACAUUGAAUUUUUUUAACUAGUUUGUAUACUGCUGAGUCAUCCCCGCUCUGGAAGCUGAUUUCAUAUUUCAAAGCUCCGAUUUCUUUGCAGAGAGUAAUUAGCAAGUGAAGAAGCAAGCGGGUGUGCUUUCAUGGCUGAAUUGCUUCCACCUUAUGAGGCUGAGUCUCAGAAUUGGACACCACAAGCUUCGGGGAGUCAGAGACAAACCGCCCCGAUACAGCUCUCUCUUUAAUUAGCUCUGUGACAUGAGCAGGUUUCACGAAUGCUGACUCUGAGCAGGCACUGUGCUACACCCACCUACUCAUGGAUGGACAAGAGAGCAACACAACAAGCUUUCAUGGGCUGUAUUACAUCACAUUUGGAAGUAUUUAUAUUUCCAGUUGUGAUCUUUAAAAAAGAAUUGUCUAAGCUCAAAUACCCCAAAGCAUGAAGAGCCUUGCUUUGCACUUACUUAAAUUUUUGUGUUGGUCUUUUUUUCUUUUUUUUUUUUUGGUGAGGAAGAUUGGCUCUGAGCUAACACCUGUUACCAAUCUUCCUCUUUUUCCUUGAGGGAGAGUGGUCCUGAGCUAACGUUUGUGUCAGUCUUCCUCCCUUUUGUAUGUGGGACGCUGCCACAGCAUUUCUUGGUGAGAGGUGUAGGUCCAUCCCCAGGAUCCAAACCUACAAAUCUGGACCGCCAAAGUGGAGCACACCACACUUAACCACUACACCCCCAGGCCAGCCCAUGCACUUAUUUAAAUUUUUGAUGAAAUGUAUAAGCUAGAUAAUUUUGCUUUAUAUACAAAGUGCUAUAAUUGCAUUAAAACUACAUUCUGUUUUUCCUUAUUAGGUAGAAAGUUUUUCUUUGGAAAGAUUUAAAAUUUUUCAUAUAAAUACC